This 2025-nucleotide unclassified non-coding RNA is filed under the name uncultured fungus. Its description in RNAcentral is "sequence contains 18S rRNA gene, ITS1, 5.8S rRNA gene, ITS2, 28S rRNA gene". The stretch from base 785 to 2025 matches the Rfam family "Eukaryotic large subunit ribosomal RNA", at positions 1 to 961 of the family's 3401-position model. Lineage: Eukaryota; Fungi. The record is from RNAcentral.
GGAUGGAUCAUUAACAAUCGGGCACUCCUACUGCUUCGGCAGAAGGACCUGCCUUUUCGCAAAUUACCCCUGUGGUGUCAUGUCUUGUUGUGUGUUGCAUGCUUGGCGGAGGUGCUGGGACGCGCUCGCGCGUCUCCGGUGGCCGCCGGCUGCACGCGCGCUUUUCUUACAAACCAAUUCACCAUGACUUCUUCAAUGGCUGAAGUAACCUUGCGGUCGGCGGGUGCGUACGCGCUUUGCGCUGCGCACGUGUCGGCAUCAAGUAAAACACGAGUAAUCCAAUACAACUGCUAGCAACGGAUCACUCGGCUCUCGCGUCGAUGAAGAACGUAGCGAACUGCGAAAAUUAAUGCGACCCGCAACACGUGAGUCAUCGAGUCUUUGAACGCAUAUUGCACCCGACGGGCUCGCUCGUCGGGUCUGCCUGUCUGAGUAUCAGUACGGACCCAACCGGCAAACACACGACGCUGCUGCUUUGCGCGGCGGCGGCGUGUGUGCACGCUGUGUUGGCGCUCGACGGCGGCCGGCGCGCAUCCCGCGCCGCGUCGCUGUCGGACCUGGGCGUUCGGCAGCCAGCGCACGCGCUUCGCGUGCGCCGCCGGAGGCUUGAAAUGCAUCGGCCAGCCAGCUAUCGAUGCCGGCGCGUUAGCAUUGCUAAUCAUCCUCGGAUGUUCCUUGCUAGUACACGCGACGGCAGCCAGCAGCGGCGGCCAAAGGCGCAAAAAAGAUGAGGAAUACCGCCGCCAUCCUUACGGGGAGGCGUGCGGUACCCACACACCAAUCUUGAUCUCAGAUCAGGCAGGAUGACCCGCUGAACUUAAGCAUAUUAGUAAGCGGAGGAAAAGAAACUAAUCAGGAUUCCCUCAGUAACGGCGAGUGAAGCGGGAAUGGCCCAAUUUGAAAAGCUGGUCGGCCCCGGAGCCGGUCCCGCAUUGUAAAUUGAUGGGGCGUUGCCUAGCGUCGUGCUUUCCGGUCAAAGUUCCUUGGAACAGGACGUCAAAGAGGGUGAUAACCCCGUUGAUGGCCGGACGACAUACCCGCACGGCGCGACUACGGUGCGUCUCCUUAGAGUCGGAAUGUUUGGGAUUGCAUUCCAAAGUGGGUGGUAAACUCCAUCUAAGGCUAAAUACUGGCGAGAGACCGAUAGCGAACAAGUACCGUGAGGGAAAGUUGAAAAGCACUCUGGAGAGAGAGUCAAACAGUACGUGAAAUUGCUAGCAGGGAAACGUUGGGCGCCAGUACGCGGCAAUCAACGCCGGUGAUCAGUCGGGCGCGCAGGCGGACUGCGGUGUGGUGCACCCUUGUCUUUGGGGACCGUCCUUGCGGCGGCCCACGCAUCGCAGCUCCUCCCGUGCACCGGUGCACUCUCCGGCGGCCGGGUCAACAUCGGUUAGCGGCGUCCGAGAAGCCGCGCGGCAAGGUACCUUUGGCUCGCCGCCUCGGCGGUGUGGCCAUCGGACUUACAGGCCGUGCAGGCGAGGAUGCGGCUGACCGAGGAGGCAUAGCGGCUCGCGCGCUUCGGCGCAGGGCGCAGCGGCGGGGUCGAGGCUGCCCGUGGCGUCAGGCUACCCGUAGACUGGCGCUUACUUUGCCGUGCUUCGGCGCGGCAGUGGCGGUCGCUCCGUGGCUGCAAGCCACUAGCGAGCCCAUGACGGUUGACGAAAUGGCAUUCAACGACCCGUCUUGAAACACGGACCAAGGAGUCUAACAUGUCUGCGAGUGUUUGGGUGGCAAACCCGAACGCGGAAUGAAAGUGAAGAGGCGGGCCUCGCGCUCGCCCGCUGGCAGGACUCGGUGCGCCUCGGCGCAGCGAUGCACUGCCGACCGACCUGUUGCCCUCUGUGGCGGUAGGUUUGAGUUGGAGCAGAUCUGUUAGGACCCGAAAGAUGGUGAACUAUGCCUGAGCAGGAUGAAGCCAGAGGAAACUCUGGUGGAGGUCCGUAGCGGUUCUGACGUGCAAAUCGAUCGUCGGACUUGGGUAUAGGGGCGAAAGACUAAUCGAACCAUCUAGUAGCUGGUUCCUGC